GAAUUUUAUAUAAUUUUAUUUAUGGUACAUUUAUUGAAAUAUUAUAAGUAAGUAUAAUUUAAUUGGGAGGAUUAUUAAAUUUAAAUAACUUUAAGUUGAAAUAAGCUAUAAAUUAAUAUUAAUAAAUAUUUUUGAAUGAUUAAUUAAUUAAUAAAGAAUUAAUUACCUUAGGGAUAACAGCGUAAUAUUUUUAUGGAGAUCUUAUUAGUAAAAGUGAUUGC
This 221-nucleotide ribosomal RNA is filed under the name Strumigenys elongata. RNAcentral's name for it is "partial large subunit ribosomal RNA". Lineage: Eukaryota; Metazoa; Arthropoda; Insecta; Hymenoptera; Formicidae. The record is from RNAcentral.